CUGGUAGGACCCCACUAAUCUCAUGGGCAUAAGCUUGUUUAGUCUAUGGGACCCCAAGUAAUAAUGGCCAUUAUAAUAAGUGAAUUAUGUGUUAUGAUAUGUCUUUAUGUUUUCUUAUGAAAUUAUGUAUAUGACUAUGUGUUAGGAAAAUAGGCUAGAAUCUACAUGUUUAUGAUUAUGCUAUUUUAUGUGUUAUGUUUUCAUAUGUUAUAUGUUAUUGAUGUGUAUGUUGUAGGCUUGGGCAUAUGCCUAUUUGACUAACAAGACCCCAAAAGGAUUGUGGGCAUAAGCCUAUUUAGCUGGUAGGACCCCACUAAUCUCAUGGGCAUAAGCUUGUUUAGUCUAUGGGACCCCAAGUAAUAAUGGCCAUUAUAAUAAGUGAAUUAUGUGUUAUGAUAUGUCUUUAUGUUUUCUUAUGAAAUUAUGUAUAUGACUAUGUGUUAGGAAAAUAGGCUAGAAUCUACAUGUUUAUGAUUAUGCUAUUUUAUGUGUUAUGUUUUCAUAUGUUAUAUGUUAUUGAUGUGUAUGUUGUAGGCUUGGGCAUAUGCCUAUUUGACUAACAAGACCCCAAAAGGAUUGUGGGCAUAAGCCUAUUUAGCUGGUAGGACCCCACUAAUCUCAUGGGCAUAAGCUUGUUUAGUCUAUGGGACCCCAA
Molecule: long non-coding RNA, 655 nt
Organism: Humulus lupulus (European hop)
Lineage: Eukaryota; Viridiplantae; Streptophyta; Magnoliopsida; Rosales; Cannabaceae
Exons: 3
Source: RefSeq, a predicted model, not a curated record